This 303-nucleotide unclassified non-coding RNA is filed under the name plant metagenome. Its description in RNAcentral is "partial contains 5.8S ribosomal RNA, internal transcribed spacer 2, and large subunit ribosomal RNA". The stretch from base 1 to 105 matches the Rfam family "5.8S ribosomal RNA", at positions 50 to 154 of the family's 154-position model. The record is from RNAcentral.
GAAAUGCGAUAAGUAAUGUGAAUUGCUGAAUUCAGUGAAUCAUCGAAUCUUUGAACGCACAUUGCGCCCGCCAGUAUUCUGGCGGGCAUGCCUGUUCGAGCGUCAUUUCAACCAUCAAGCCCCGGGCUUGUGUUGGGGACCUGCGGCUGCCGCAGGCCCUGAAAAGCAGUGGCGGGCUCGCUGUCACACCGAGCGUAGUAGCAUACAUCUCGCUCUGGGCGUGCUGCGGGUUCCGGCCGUUAAACCACCUUCGUAACCCAAGGUUGACCUCGGAUCAGGUAGGAAGACCCGCUGAACUUAAGC